RNAcentral lists this transfer RNA (68 nucleotides) under Prodiamesa olivacea. RNAcentral's name for it is "tRNA-His". Lineage: Eukaryota; Metazoa; Arthropoda; Insecta; Diptera; Chironomidae. The record is from RNAcentral.
AUUUAAAUAGUUUAAUAAAAAAUAUUGAUUUGUGGUGUCAAUGAUAUGAAUAAAUUUCAUUUUAAAUC